RNAcentral lists this ribosomal RNA (2788 nucleotides) under human gut metagenome. Its description in RNAcentral is "bacterial LSU rRNA". It matches the Rfam family "Bacterial large subunit ribosomal RNA". The record is from RNAcentral.
AGCGUACACGGUGGAUGCCCUGGCAGUCAGAGGCGAUGAAGGACGUGCUAAUCUGCGAUAAGCGUCGGUGAGGUGAUAUGAACCGUUAUAACCGGCGAUUUCCGAAUGGGGAAACCCAGUGUGUUUCGACACACUAUCAUUAACUGAAUCCAUAGGUUAAUGAGGCGAACCGGGGGAACUGAAACAUCUAAGUACCCCGAGGAAAAGAAAUCAACCGAGAUUCCCCCAGUAGCGGCGAGCGAACGGGGAGCAGCCCAGAGUCUGAAUCAGUGUGUGUGUUAGUGGAAGCGUCUGGAAAGGCGCGCGAUACAGGGUGACAGCCCCGUACACAAAAAUGCACAUGCUGUGAGCUCGAUGAGUAGGGCGGGACACGUGGUAUCCUGUCUGAAUAUGGGGGGACCAUCCUCCAAGGCUAAAUACUCCUGACUGACCGAUAGUGAACCAGUACCGUGAGGGAAAGGCGAAAAGAACCCCGGCGAGGGGAGUGAAAAAGAACCUGAAACCGUGUACGUACAAGCAGUGGGAGCCUCUUAAUGGGGUGACUGCGUACCUUUUGUAUAAUGGGUCAGCGACUUAUAUUCUGUAGCAAGGUUAACCGAAUAGGGGAGCCGAAGGGAAACCGAGUCUUAACUGGGCGUUAAGUUGCAGGGUAUAGACCCGAAACCCGGUGAUCUAGCCAUGGGCAGGUUGAAGGUUGGGUAACACUAACUGGAGGACCGAACCGACUAAUGUUGAAAAAUUAGCGGAUGACUUGUGGCUGGGGGUGAAAGGCCAAUCAAACCGGGAGAUAGCUGGUUCUCCCCGAAAGCUAUUUAGGUAGCGCCUCGUGAAUUCAUCUCCGGGGGUAGAGCACUGUUUCGGCAAGGGGGUCAUCCCGACUUACCAACCCGAUGCAAACUGCGAAUACCGGAGAAUGUUAUCACGGGAGACACACGGCGGGUGCUAACGUCCGUCGUGAAGAGGGAAACAACCCAGACCGCCAGCUAAGGUCCCAAAGUCAUGGUUAAGUGGGAAACGAUGUGGGAAGGCCCAGACAGCCAGGAUGUUGGCUUAGAAGCAGCCAUCAUUUAAAGAAAGCGUAAUAGCUCACUGGUCGAGUCGGCCUGCGCGGAAGAUGUAACGGGGCUAAACCAUGCACCGAAGCUGCGGCAGCGACGCUUAUGCGUUGUUGGGUAGGGGAGCGUUCUGUAAGCCUGUGAAGGUGUGCUGUGAGGCAUGCUGGAGGUAUCAGAAGUGCGAAUGCUGACAUAAGUAACGAUAAAGCGGGUGAAAAGCCCGCUCGCCGGAAGACCAAGGGUUCCUGUCCAACGUUAAUCGGGGCAGGGUGAGUCGACCCCUAAGGCGAGGCCGAAAGGCGUAGUCGAUGGGAAACAGGUUAAUAUUCCUGUACUUGGUGUUACUGCGAAGGGGGGACGGAGAAGGCUAUGUUGGCCGGGCGACGGUUGUCCCGGUUUAAGCGUGUAGGCUGGUUUUCCAGGCAAAUCCGGAAAAUCAAGGCUGAGGCGUGAUGACGAGGCACUACGGUGCUGAAGCAACAAAUGCCCUGCUUCCAGGAAAAGCCUCUAAGCAUCAGGUAACAUCAAAUCGUACCCCAAACCGACACAGGUGGUCAGGUAGAGAAUACCAAGGCGCUUGAGAGAACUCGGGUGAAGGAACUAGGCAAAAUGGUGCCGUAACUUCGGGAGAAGGCACGCUGAUAUGUAGGUGAAGCGACUUGCUCGUGGAGCUGAAAUCAGUCGAAGAUACCAGCUGGCUGCAACUGUUUAUUAAAAACACAGCACUGUGCAAACACGAAAGUGGACGUAUACGGUGUGACGCCUGCCCGGUGCCGGAAGGUUAAUUGAUGGGGUUAGCGGCAACGCGAAGCUCUUGAUCGAAGCCCCGGUAAACGGCGGCCGUAACUAUAACGGUCCUAAGGUAGCGAAAUUCCUUGUCGGGUAAGUUCCGACCUGCACGAAUGGCGUAAUGAUGGCCAGGCUGUCUCCACCCGAGACUCAGUGAAAUUGAACUCGCUGUGAAGAUGCAGUGUACCCGCGGCAAGACGGAAAGACCCCGUGAACCUUUACUAUAGCUUGACACUGAACAUUGAGCCUUGAUGUGUAGGAUAGGUGGGAGGCUUUGAAGUGUGGACGCCAGUCUGCAUGGAGCCGACCUUGAAAUACCACCCUUUAAUGUUUGAUGUUCUAACGUUGGCCCGUAAUCCGGGUUGCGGACAGUGUCUGGUGGGUAGUUUGACUGGGGCGGUCUCCUCCUAAAGAGUAACGGAGGAGCACGAAGGUUGGCUAAUCCUGGUCGGACAUCAGGAGGUUAGUGCAAUGGCAUAAGCCAGCUUGACUGCGAGCGUGACGGCGCGAGCAGGUGCGAAAGCAGGUCAUAGUGAUCCGGUGGUUCUGAAUGGAAGGGCCAUCGCUCAACGGAUAAAAGGUACUCCGGGGAUAACAGGCUGAUACCGCCCAAGAGUUCAUAUCGACGGCGGUGUUUGGCACCUCGAUGUCGGCUCAUCACAUCCUGGGGCUGAAGUAGGUCCCAAGGGUAUGGCUGUUCGCCAUUUAAAGUGGUACGCGAGCUGGGUUUAGAACGUCGUGAGACAGUUCGGUCCCUAUCUGCCGUGGGCGCUGGAGAACUGAGGGGGGCUGCUCCUAGUACGAGAGGACCGGAGUGGACGCAUCACUGGUGUUCGGGUUGUCAUGCCAAUGGCACUGCCCGGUAGCUAAAUGCGGAAGAGAUAAGUGCUGAAAGCAUCUAAGCACGAAACUUGCCCCGAGAUGAGUUCUCCCUGACUCCUUGA